GCUUUGAUGAUCACUUGAGGUGACUGAGUGGCGGACGGGUGAGUAACGCGUGGGUAACCUACCCUAUACAGGGGGAUAACAGUUGGAAACGACUGCUAAUACCGCAUAAGCGCACAGGACCGCAUGGUCUAGUGUGAAAAACUCCGGUGGUAUAGGGAUGGACCCGCGUCUGAUUAGCUAGUUGGUGAGGUAACGGCUCACCAAGGCGACGAUCAGUAGCCGACCUGAGAGGGUGACCGGCCACAUUGGGACUGAGACACGGCCCAAACUCCUACGGGAGGCAGCAGUGGGGAAUAUUGCACAAUGGGCGAAAGCCUGAUUCGCAGCGACGCCGCGUGAACGAAGAAGUAUUUCGGUAUGUAAAGUUCUAUCAGCAGGGAAGAAAAAUGACGGUACCUGACUAAGAAGCUCCGGCUAAAUACGUGCCAGCCGCCGC
RNAcentral lists this ribosomal RNA (436 nucleotides) under uncultured bacterium. RNAcentral's name for it is "bacterial SSU rRNA". It matches the Rfam family "Bacterial small subunit ribosomal RNA", at positions 70 to 518 of the family's 1533-position model. The record is from RNAcentral.